RNAcentral lists this ribosomal RNA (160 nucleotides) under uncultured bacterium. RNAcentral describes it as "partial 16S ribosomal RNA". It matches the Rfam family "Bacterial small subunit ribosomal RNA", at positions 355 to 507 of the family's 1533-position model. The record is from RNAcentral.
UGGGGAAUAUUGCACAAUGGGCGCAAGCCUGAUGCAGCCAUGCCGCGUGUAUGAAGAAGGCCUUCGGGUUGUAAAGUACUUUCAGCGGGGAGGAAGGUGAUGAACUUAAUACGUUCAUCAAUUGACGUUACCCGCAGAAGAAGCACCGGCUAACUCCGUG